ACUCAUGCUGUCUCCCCAGAAGAACCAUCCCAUGCCGGCACAACCAUUGUUGGAAACCUCAUCAUUCGCGCGGUAAGGGUCGUUGUAUUUUAUGAAGGCAUUGUUGCGUGGUGCAGGAAAGGGAAGUGCUUGAGAUCAGUCUUAAGGUUUAGUGAUCAGUCUUCCUUUUGGUUGGUGCACUCACUAUUUCUUAGGCCAACAUCAGUUUUGGCGGCAGGAUAAUGACAUUGGAAUGUGGCUCUUUCGGGAGUGUUAUAGCCUUUGUUGAUACUGCCUGCUUAGACUGAGGACUGCGCUUUGCUAGGAUGUUGGCAUAAUGAUCUUAAGCAGCCCGUCUUGAAACACGGACCAAGGAGUCUAACAACUAUGCGAGUGUUUGGGUGUAAAACCCGUACGCAUAAUGAAAGUGAACGUAGGUGGGAACCUUUUGGUGCACCAUCGACCGAUCCUGAUGUAUUCGGAUGGAUUUGAGUAAGAGCAUAGCUGUUGGGACCCGAAAGAUGGUGAACUAUGCCUGAAUAGGGUGAAGCCAGAGGAAACUCUGGUGGAGGCUCGUAGCGAUUCUGACGUGCAAAUCGAUCGU
Molecule: non-coding RNA, 583 nt
Filed under: Lipomyces starkeyi NRRL Y-11557
Lineage: Eukaryota; Fungi; Ascomycota; Lipomycetes; Lipomycetales; Lipomycetaceae
Description: Eukaryotic large subunit ribosomal RNA
Rfam family: Eukaryotic large subunit ribosomal RNA
Source: Rfam by way of RNAcentral